CGUCAUCGCAGGUCCUGCAGCCCCAGGAGGUGAGAUCUGCAGGUUCCUUAGGUUCAGGACUCUCUUCUUUUUAAAGCCGAUGGUCCUUUCCAUCAAUGACCCACCAAGGAUGGAGAAGGACAGAGACCACAUGGCUGCGAGGAUAUUAGACCUCACCCUGGAGAUCAUCUCCUUGAUAACUGGAGAGGAUUACACAGUAGUGAAGAAGUCGUCUGGUGAGUGUGUGACACCCCGUGUGUCAGGAG
Molecule: long non-coding RNA, 245 nt
Organism: Bufo gargarizans (Asiatic toad)
Lineage: Eukaryota; Metazoa; Chordata; Amphibia; Anura; Bufonidae
Exons: 3
Source: RefSeq, a predicted model, not a curated record